This 252-nucleotide ribosomal RNA is filed under the name uncultured bacterium. RNAcentral describes it as "partial 16S ribosomal RNA". It matches the Rfam family "Bacterial small subunit ribosomal RNA", at positions 525 to 776 of the family's 1533-position model. The record is from RNAcentral.
ACGGAGGGUGCAAGCGUUAAUCGGAAUUACUGGGCGUAAAGCGCGCGUAGGCGGCUUGUUAAGUCGGAUGUGAAAUCCCUGGGCUCAACCUAGGACUUGCAUCCGAUACUGGCAAGCUAGAGUACGAUAGAGGGUGGUAGAAUUUCUUGUGUAGCGGUGAAAUGCGUAGAUAUAAGAAGGAAUACCAGUGGCGAAGGCGGCCACCUGGAUCGAUACUGACGCUGAGGUGCGAAAGCGUGGGGAGCAAACAGG